AUCGCUUCUCGGCCUUUUGGCUAAGAUCAAGAGUUAUAUACACACAUAUAUAUGUGUGUGUGUGUGUGUGUGUAUGUACAUAUACAUAUAUAUAUACACAUGUGUGUACACACACACACACACACA
This 126-nucleotide small nuclear RNA is filed under the name Fukomys damarensis (Damara mole-rat). Its description in RNAcentral is "U2 spliceosomal RNA". It matches the Rfam family "U2 spliceosomal RNA". From Rfam's summary of the family: U2 is a small nuclear RNA (snRNA) component of the spliceosome (involved in pre-mRNA splicing). Complementary binding between U2 snRNA (in an area lying towards the 5' end but 3' to hairpin I) and the branchpoint sequence (BPS) of the intron results the bulging out of an unpaired adenosine, on the BPS, which initiates a nucleophilic attack at the intronic 5' splice site, thus starting the first of two transesterification reactions that mediate splicing. Lineage: Eukaryota; Metazoa; Chordata; Mammalia; Rodentia; Bathyergidae. The record is from Rfam by way of RNAcentral.